RNAcentral lists this ribosomal RNA (1362 nucleotides) under uncultured bacterium. RNAcentral describes it as "16S ribosomal RNA". It matches the Rfam family "Bacterial small subunit ribosomal RNA", at positions 28 to 1381 of the family's 1533-position model. The record is from RNAcentral.
GAUGAACGCUAGCGACAGGCUUAACACAUGCAAGUCGAGGGGCAGCAGGGGAGUAGCAAUACUCCCGCUGGCGACCGGCGCACGGGUGAGUAACACGUAUGCAACCUGCCCUUGUCAGGGGGAUAAGCGGAAGAAAUUCCGUCUAAUACCGCAUAAUGCUGCGGGGAGACAUCUCCCUGCAGCCAAAGAUUUAUCGGACAAGGAUGGGCAUGCGGCGCAUUAGCUGGUUGGCGGGGUAACGGCCCACCAAGGCGACGAUGCGUAGGGGUUCUGAGAGGAAGGUCCCCCACACUGGUACUGAGACACGGACCAGACUCCUACGGGAGGCAGCAGUGAGGAAUAUUGGUCAAUGGCCGGGAGGCUGAACCAGCCAAGUCGCGUGAGGGAAGACGGUCCUAUGGAUUGUAAACCUCUUUUGUCAGGGAGCAAAAACUGCCACGCGUGGCAGGAUGAGAGUACCUGAAGAAAAAGCAUCGGCUAACUCCGUGCCAGCAGCCGCGGUAAUACGGAGGAUGCGAGCGUUAUCCGGAUUUAUUGGGUUUAAAGGGUGCGUAGGCGGACAGUUAAGUCAGCGGUAAAAUUGAGAGGCUCAACCUCUUCCCGCCGUUGAAACUGAUUGUCUUGAGUGGGCGAGAAGUAUGCGGAAUGCGUGGUGUAGCGGUGAAAUGCAUAGAUAUCACGCAGAACUCCGAUUGCGAAGGCAGCAUACCGGCGCCCAACUGACGCUGAAGCACGAAAGCGUGGGUAUCGAGCAGGAUUAGAUACCCUGGUAGUCCACGCAGUAAACGAUGAAUACUAAUUGUUCGGGUCAAAUGAGAUCUGAGUGAUACAGCGAAAGCGUUAAGUAUUCCACCUGGGGAGUACGCCGGCAACGGUGAAACUCAAAGGAAUUGACGGGGGCCCGCACAAGCGGAGGAACAUGUGGUUUAAUUCGAUGAUACGCGAGGAACCUUACCCGGGCUCAAACGACACAGGAAUGAUCUGAGAAAUCAGGCAGUCCUCCGGGACCUGUGUCGAGGUGCUGCAUGGUUGUCGUCAGCUCGUGCCGUGAGGUGUCGGCUUAAGUGCCAUAACGAGCGCAACCCCCAUCGACAGUUGCCAGCAGGUGAAGCUGGGCACUCUGUCGAGACUGCCGGCGCAAGCUGUGAGGAAGGCGGGGAUGACGUCAAAUCAGCACGGCCCUUACGUCCGGGGCGACACACGUGUUACAAUGGCAGGUACAGCGGGAAGCCACCUGGCGACAGGGAGCGGAACCCGAAAGCCUGUCUCAGUUCGGAUUGGAGUCUGCAACUCGACUCCAUGAAGCUGGAUUCGCUAGUAAUCGCGCAUCAGCCACGGCGCGGUGAAUACGUUCCCGGGCCU